CAGUCGCCACGGUAAUACGAAGGGGGCUAGCGUUGUUCGGAAUUACUGGGCGUAAAGGGCGCGUAGGCGGCCAUUCAAGUUAGAUGUGAAAGCCCUGGGCUCAACCUAGGAAUUGCAUUUGAUACUGUUUGGCUUGAGUUCGGGAGAGGUGAGUGGAAUUCCCAGUGUAGAGGUGAAAUUCGUAGAUAUUGGGAAGAACACCAGUGGCGAAGGCGGCCCACUGGACCGACACUGACGCUGAGGCGCGAAAGCGGGGGGAGCAGACAGGAUUAGAUACCCGCGUAGUCCCUGUCUCUUAUAC
Molecule: ribosomal RNA, 301 nt
Filed under: uncultured bacterium
Lineage: Bacteria
Description: partial 16S ribosomal RNA
Rfam family: Bacterial small subunit ribosomal RNA
Source: RNAcentral